RNAcentral lists this ribosomal RNA (450 nucleotides) under uncultured bacterium. Its description in RNAcentral is "bacterial SSU rRNA". It matches the Rfam family "Bacterial small subunit ribosomal RNA", at positions 355 to 796 of the family's 1533-position model. The record is from RNAcentral.
UCGAGAAUUUUUCACAAUGGACGAAAGUCUGAUGGAGCGACGCCGCGUGGAGGAUGAAGGUUCUUGGAUUGUAAACUCCUGUCACUGCAGAACAAGGAUACGUCAGUUAACAGCCAACGUAUUUGAUGGUAUGCGGAGAGGAAGGGACGGCUAACUCUGUGCCAGCAGCCGCGGUAAGACAGAGGUCCCGAGCGUUGUUCGGAUUCAUUGGGCGUAAAGGGUGUGUAGGAGGUCGGGUAAGUCAGGUGUGAAAUCUCACAGCUUAACUGUGAAACUGCGCUUGAUACUGCUCGGCUAGAGGAUCGGAGGGGGUAACGGAAUUCAUGGUGUAGCAGUGAAAUGCGUAGAUAUCAUGAGGAACACCGGUGGCGAAGGCGGUUACCUGGAAGAUUCCUGACUCUGAAACACGAAAGCCAGGGGAGCAAACGGGAUUAGAUACCCCCGUAGUCC